RNAcentral lists this ribosomal RNA (406 nucleotides) under uncultured bacterium. Its description in RNAcentral is "partial 16S ribosomal RNA". It matches the Rfam family "Bacterial small subunit ribosomal RNA", at positions 30 to 526 of the family's 1533-position model. The record is from RNAcentral.
AUUGAACGCUGGCGGCAGGCCUAACACAUGCAAGUCGAACGAGUGGCGGACGGGUGAGUAAUGUAUGGGAAACUGCCUGAUGGAGGGGGAUAACUACUGGAAACGGUAGCUAAUACCGCAUACCAUCAGAUGUGCCCAGAUGGGAUUAGCUGGUUGGUGGGGUAACGGCCCACAAAGGCGACGAUCCCUAGCUGGUCUGAGAGGAUGACCAGCCAAACUGGAACUGAGACACGGUCCAGACUCCUCCGGGAGGCAGGAGUGGGGAAUAUUGCACAAUGGGCGCAAGCCGGAUGCAGCCAUGCCGCGUGUAUGAAGAAGGCCUUCGGGUUGGAAAGUACUUUCAGCGGGGAGGCGUUACCCGCAUAAGAAGCACCGGCGAACUCCGUGCCAGCCGCCGCGGUAAUUC